ACUCCUACGGGAGGCAGCAGUGGGGAAUAUUGCACAAUGGGCGAAAGCCUGAUGCAGCAACGCCGCGUGAGGGACGACGGCCUUCGGGUUGUAAACCUCUUUUAGUAGGGAAGAAGCGUAAAAGUGACGGUACCUGCAGAAAAAGCACCGGCUAACUACGUGCCAGCAGCCGCGGUAAUACGUAGGGUGCAAGCGUUGUCCGGAAUUAUUGGGCGUAAAGAGCUCGUAGGCGGUUUGUCGCGUCUGCUGUGAAAACCCGAGGCUCAACCUCGGGCCUGCAGUGGGUACGGGCAGACUAGAGUGCGGUAGGGGAGAUUGGAAUUCCUGGUGUAGCGGUGGAAUGCGCAGAUAUCAGGAGGAACACCAAUGGCGAAGGCAGAUCUCUGGGCCGUAACUGACGCUGAGGAGCGAAAGCAUGGGGAGCGAACAGGAUUAGAUACCCUGGUAGUCCAUGCCGUAAACGUUGGGAACUAGAUGUGGGGACCAUUCCACGGUCUCCGUGUCGCAGCUAACGCAUUAAGUUCCCCGCCUGGGGAGUACGACCGCAAGGCUAAAACUCAAAUGAAUUGACGG
RNAcentral lists this ribosomal RNA (573 nucleotides) under uncultured Leifsonia sp. Its description in RNAcentral is "bacterial SSU rRNA". It matches the Rfam family "Bacterial small subunit ribosomal RNA", at positions 335 to 916 of the family's 1533-position model. The record is from RNAcentral. Lineage: Bacteria; Bacillati; Actinomycetota; Actinomycetes; Micrococcales; Microbacteriaceae.